ACCCAAUAGAUACCCCGGUAGUCCACGCCCUAAACGAUGUCGACUGGUUGUUGGGGGUUUGACACUCUCAGUAAACGAAAGCUAAACGCGUGUAGUCGACCGCCUGGGGAGUACGGCCGCAAGGUUAAAACUCAAAGGAAUUGACGGGGACCCGCACAAGCGGUGGAUUAUGUGGAUUAAUUCGAUGCAACGCGAAAAACCUUACCUACCCUUGACAUGUCCUGAAUCCUGGAGAGAUCCGGGGGUGCCCGAAAGGGAACGGGAACACAGGUGCUGCAUGGCUGUCGUCAGCUCGUGUCGUGAGAUGUUGGGUUAAGUCCCGCAACGAGCGCAACCCUUGUCAUUAGUUGCUACCGCAAGGAGCACUCUAAUGAGACUGCCGGUGACAAACCGGAGGAAGGUGGGGAUGACGUCAAGUCCUCAUGGCCCUUAUGGGUAGGGCUUCACACGUAAUACAAUGGUCGGUACAGAGGGUUGCCAAGCCGCGAGGCGGAGCCAAUCCCAGAAAGCCGAUCGUAGUCCGGAUCGCAGUCUGCAACUCGACUGCGUGAAGUC
RNAcentral lists this ribosomal RNA (555 nucleotides) under uncultured bacterium. Its description in RNAcentral is "bacterial SSU rRNA". It matches the Rfam family "Bacterial small subunit ribosomal RNA", at positions 771 to 1327 of the family's 1533-position model. The record is from RNAcentral.